UCCUGCCUGAUUUAGGCUAUCUGUAACCCUAAUUAACAUCUGAACCUGCUAAUCAAGGCAUCCAAGGUCGCUAGAACCUUCCAGACAGGUGUGCUGGAAAAAGUUGGCUCAAAGCUCCACAAGAAAGUGCCCCUCCAGGAGGACUGGACACGUCUAUAUUAAGACCAUUGGGAUGUAAUGGACAAAAAAGAACUGUCCUGUAUCCCCCAGACACCGGUGGGAGGAACCGAAGCACCUCUCUGACCACACAGUCCAGGUCACCAACUGAGUUUACCAGAGUGUUGGGCCCCAGGAUGAUGCGUGUGCUCUGGGGCCACUGCGUGCACACCAGCGUGUGUUCACCCAGCAGAAUCUUACGGAUGUUUUCUGCACCGGUCACUCGGAUGAGGGGUUUACCCAAAAGAGGAAGUUGUCUGGAUGGCCAAAACGCCAAUCACUCAACAUCCCGCCUCCCCGCUGACAGGAGUUUCCUGUGAUGAAUGACAGGGCUGGACUGCAAUAAAGAACUUGAUUCAGUUUUACCCUCCAGAUCAUCUGAAAGACACUACUUAAGUAAAAUGUAGAAUAAGUGAAGAAGUGUACAUAGGCUACCUCUGGUAUUUCUUCAACAUGGUAAUUGU
Long non-coding RNA from Cyprinus carpio (common carp), 620 nucleotides. RefSeq lists it as uncharacterized. The record is from RefSeq and is a predicted model, not a curated record. The transcript has 4 exons. NCBI's taxonomy places the organism in Eukaryota, Metazoa, Chordata, Actinopteri, Cypriniformes, Cyprinidae.